AUGUUUUAUUUUUUUAAAAAAGAUGACUUUUUACCUCUAAAGUGCACUUUCCACUUGCUAGUUUACCAGUAAAAUGGAUAAAGCAAUCAUUAUAUCAUGGAGGUUUACAUUGUUGUGGUGUUAUUGUACUAUUUGUUGCUCAUUAAUUGUUUGAUUAUUUUAUGCCACAUCAAAGAUGAACACCGAAACUGAAUGCUAGAUUGAUGGCACUAACCACAACGAUAUUUGUUUUUAUUUGAAUUCAUUACCUGUUAUGUAGUGUUGACUCGUCUUAUAUGGAUUUCUCUGAUGGAUGGAAAGAACCUAAUCUAUGAUUCAAAAUUGCCUUGUUCGUUUCCUUUUUAUUAAUUUCUGUCUGUCUGUCUGAUCUCCUCCUGUAGAAAUUUCUGACGUGGACCAAGUUUGGAUCUACUGUAAGUAAAAUCAUCUGGAUUUUCUCUAGUCCAUUAUAUUGAUUACGUUACUUGAUAUUAGAUUCAGCCUGCACACCCCCUCCUGGGGUUUUGAGAUGGAUGGUAGGGAUCAACAUUCAUAUAUGCAAGAGUUCUACCAUAAUGAUUCCUCAAGAUGGAUUGUAAGUGCAGGUCAUCCUGGUCCUUCUCUAUUAAAUUUAUAUGGUGUGUGGGCCUUUCUGCAUGGAUGUUUCGUAUUGAACUUUGUGCUUAUUUUUUACUGGAAAGUUUGCGUACCAUUAUCUCCACUGAGCCUUCUGACAUUUCCUUUUUUUCUGCCGGGAAAAAAGGUCUUCUUGGAUUGAAAUGGAAUUUCUAUUAUACUAUUUUUACGCUUUGCAUGUACCAAGGUGCUGGCCACCCAUAACAAAUUUAGUUAGUCCCUUCCAAUCUAAUUCCAAAACAAGCUUACCAAUCUCUUGCUUUUCAUCUUUAAACAAUUAGAUUCCAUGACACGUACGGGCCAUGCAAUAAGAAAUUAAUCAUCCCACAUUAUGUGAAUGGUUAACAUAUAAAUAAUUGUAAGAGGUUAUCAUCAUGUCAAUUUUAAGAAUCAUAUCAUGCAAAUACAUUUAUUAAAGAAAAAUAGUUUUUUUUCAUUGAAAAAACCUUCUAGCUGAUGGGGAAAAAGAAAUUAUCCUUAAAAAUAGCAAUUUAUGAUAAUCAAGUCCCUUCACAAUAUAUUA
Molecule: long non-coding RNA, 1138 nt
Filed under: Phoenix dactylifera (date palm)
Lineage: Eukaryota; Viridiplantae; Streptophyta; Magnoliopsida; Arecales; Arecaceae
Description: long non-coding RNA (PDAC_LNC001976)
Source: RNAcentral